Long non-coding RNA from Contarinia nasturtii (swede midge), 549 nucleotides. RefSeq lists it as uncharacterized. NCBI's taxonomy places the organism in Eukaryota, Metazoa, Arthropoda, Insecta, Diptera, Cecidomyiidae. The transcript has 2 exons. The record is from RefSeq and is a predicted model, not a curated record.
AAUCGAGUUUGUAAAUUUCGCGAUACAAAUAUAAUCUAUAACAGGAUCACUGUAGCUAAAUAUCAAUACUCGUCUUUGAUUUUUCUUUAAAUAUUUUUCUAAAAUAUAUUUCAGCUAAAGAUGGUGAUAAUUCGUACACCUUUAUGUGUGUUAUUUCUUUUCAUUUUAUCCACAAUGAGUGUCAUUGAGUGUGCUUGUUUGGAUGAUAGAUCAACUAAUGAGUGGGAUGGUGGAUGGUUCAGUGGUCCGAAACCAGUAAAUCGUGCCCCAUCUGGCUGUAUACUUAACAGCUGGCCUUGUAAAACACACAGAGAUUGUUGUGAGGGUAACUGUCAUUCAAGACGAAAUUACGAUUCGAUGAAACUAAGUUGGGGUGAUAUAAAAUUGUGCGGAUGAAAAUACUACACGGAGAUAUAUAUGCCGACGCUCAUAAGCUUAGGAUUGAUUUUAGGAACAUAAUCCAUUAUCGAAUAUAAAUAAUUGCAUUUGUAAUGUAUUAAUUAAGUUUGUGAAUCAAUGACAUAAAGUGAAUGUUGAUUACAAUCAAAA